Molecule: ribosomal RNA, 511 nt
Filed under: uncultured Leptolyngbya sp.
Lineage: Bacteria; Bacillati; Cyanobacteriota; Cyanophyceae; Leptolyngbyales; Leptolyngbyaceae
Description: bacterial SSU rRNA
Rfam family: Bacterial small subunit ribosomal RNA
Source: RNAcentral
UUUUCCGCAAUGGGCGAAAGCCUGACGGAGCAACGCCGCGUGCGAGAGAAAGCCCUGUGGGUUAUAAACCUCUUUUAUCAGGGAAGAUAAUGACGGUACCUGAGGAAUGAGCAUCGUCUAACUCCGUGCCAGCACUCGCGGUAAUACGGGGGAGGCAAGCGUUAUCCGGAAUUAUUGGGCGUAAAGAGUCCGUAGGCGGCUAAGCAAGUUUGCUGUAAAAGGUCGGGGCUUAACCCCGAAUGUGCAGUGGAAACUGUUUAGCUAGAGUUCGGUAGGGGUUGAGGGAAUUCCCAGUGUAGCGGUGAAAUGCGUAGAUAUUGGGAAGAACACCUGUGGCGAAGGCGCUCAACUGGGCCGUACCUGACGCUUAUGGACGAAAGCUACGGGGAGCGAAAGGGAUUAGAUACCCCUGUAGUCCUAGCCGUAAACGAUGGACACUAGAUGUUGCGCGUCAUCGACCCGUGCUGUGUCGUAGAAACGCGUUAAGUGUUCCGCCUGGCGAGUACGACGA